UCAGUGAGUAAAGGUGCUCUUCUUCAAGU
RNAcentral lists this non-coding RNA (29 nucleotides) under Mus musculus (house mouse). The record is from RNAcentral. Lineage: Eukaryota; Metazoa; Chordata; Mammalia; Rodentia; Muridae.